Long non-coding RNA from Aegilops tauschii subsp. strangulata, 901 nucleotides. RefSeq lists it as uncharacterized. NCBI's taxonomy places the organism in Eukaryota, Viridiplantae, Streptophyta, Magnoliopsida, Poales, Poaceae. The record is from RefSeq and is a predicted model, not a curated record.
UCUUCCUCCCAGUGAACUCUGCAUACUACUGCCUCCCAAUACAAGUCCAUCUCGUCUUUUGAAGGGAACACAGGUCCAUCUCUGCUAGCAAGCCGUUCUGCAUCAUUAAGAAAAAUCAACCAUAAAUAUUUCUCUACCCAUCUCUAGGGUGUAAAAGGGACGUGUUUGCUCAAGCAACUUCCACGAGAAGCAGCCAUGGCUCCCUGGUCGCUUGCUGCAUGCCAUGAGGGGCGCAGUUUGCUUUAGAGCAAUCGCUGCAAGCAGAGGCUUCUCGAUCUACUCUCCGCUCAUGCUCCCUAUUGCAGCUCUUUUAUAAGUAGGAUCAGCAAGACCCAACAUCCAUCCAUCGUGAAGCAAAAGGAAGCGGAAAUGACGAUGGUCCUGGAUGCCUUUGCAUCCUACGUGCAAAACAUGCUCACGGAGAUGGUGAGUGAAGAGGUGCACAUGCUGCUUGGAGUCGGAGACGAGAUCAAGAAGAUGGAUGUCAAGCUUAAGGACCUCAAGAACUUCCUCGCCGACGCUGACCGGAGAAACAUCACGGACGAGAGCGUGCAGGAGUGGGCGGCCCAGCUCAAGCGUGCCAUGUACGAAGCUACCGGAAGUAUAAAGCUAGGGUGGUUACAAUGGAGAUGAAGUAUAAAGCUACCGGAAGUAUAGUCUAUGAUAGUAGAUGUGCAAAACUACCGCUAGCCCCGCCCUAUAUAUAUAGUGAGGGAUAGGGUUUACUAGGGAUCUACCCGAUCUCAGGCCGCCGACAACUUGGCUUGCAUGCCAAGAUGGUCUCUCAAGCCUUAUCCGAGCUCCUAGGCCGGCCACUGAGAGCGGGUCUUUGCUAGGACUCUUGGGCCCCGAGGCAGGCCUGCCAUCAGGCUUCUCAUCAAGAGGCCACCCCACAGUGUAU